UACGUAGGCGGAAAAUUAAGUCAGUAGUGAAAUCCUGCAGCUUAACUGUAGAACUGUUAUUGAUACUGGUUUUCUUGAAUAUAGUUGAGGUAGGCGGAAUGUGUAAUGUAGCGGUGAAAUGCUUAGAUAUUACACAGAACACCGAUUGCGAAGGCAGCUUACUAAGCUAUGAUAGACGCUGAGGUACGAAAGCGUGGGGAGCGAACAGGAUUAGAUACCCUGGUAGUCC
This 229-nucleotide ribosomal RNA is filed under the name uncultured bacterium. RNAcentral describes it as "partial 16S ribosomal RNA". It matches the Rfam family "Bacterial small subunit ribosomal RNA", at positions 568 to 796 of the family's 1533-position model. The record is from RNAcentral.